GACGUAGGGCGCGAGCGUUGUCCGGAUUUACUGGGCGUAAAGAGCGCGCAGGCGGUGGUUCAAGUCGCGUGUGAAAGCCCCCGGCUCAACUGGGGAGGGUGACGCGAUACUGAUCGACUCGAAGGCAGGAGAGGGUAGUGGAAUUCCCGGUGUAGUGGUGAAAUGCGUAGAUAUCGGGAGGAACCCCAGAGGCGAAGGCGGCGCUCUGGAUCGCACCUGACGCUCAGACACGACAGCAUGGGGAGCGAACGGG
This 253-nucleotide ribosomal RNA is filed under the name uncultured bacterium. RNAcentral describes it as "partial 16S ribosomal RNA". It matches the Rfam family "Bacterial small subunit ribosomal RNA", at positions 524 to 776 of the family's 1533-position model. The record is from RNAcentral.